UACGUAGGGGGCAAGCGUUGUCCGGAAUCAUUGGGCGUAAAGAGCGUGUAGGUGGCCAACUAAGUCAGACGUGAAAUCCCUCGGCUUAACCGGGGAACUGCGUCUGAUACUGGAUGGCUGGAGUGUGGGAGAGGGAUGCGGAAUUCCAGGUGUAGCGGUGAAAUGCGUAGAUAUCUGGAGGAACACCGGUGGCGAAGGCGGCAUCCUGGACCAUUACUGACACUGAAAAGCGAAAGCCAGGGGAGCAAACGGG
Molecule: ribosomal RNA, 253 nt
Filed under: uncultured bacterium
Lineage: Bacteria
Description: partial 16S ribosomal RNA
Rfam family: Bacterial small subunit ribosomal RNA
Source: RNAcentral